Molecule: long non-coding RNA, 1511 nt
Organism: Vitis riparia (riverbank grape)
Lineage: Eukaryota; Viridiplantae; Streptophyta; Magnoliopsida; Vitales; Vitaceae
Exons: 4
Source: RefSeq, a predicted model, not a curated record
CGAGGAUGUCACCACCAGCCAGCUUGAUGAAUUGGCCACUGCUUUUACCGCCAAUCACCCCAAUUCUGUUAGAUUUUUUUAUUUUUAUUUUUUUGCCCGGAUUACAGUUCCUUUUUUUUCCUUGUAUGUAUGUUUCAACGAUACUUUACUGUCAUUUCUGCAGUUUUCAUGGGAUUGAUAAUUGAAGAUAACAGGGUUUGUUUCACUUUAUGAUUUGUUUGAACAUUUGUUUUGUACAGUUGGCUGAAAGGAUUGUUGUUUCAAAUCUGCAUAAGAACACAAAGAAAUCAUUUUCAGAGACAAUCAAAGAUAUGCACAAUCAUUUUAAUGAGAGAUCUGGGCUGAAGCCUCCUUGGAUUGCAGCUGAUGUUUAUGAAAUAAUCAUGAAGAAUGCUCGUUUGGAUAGUGAAAUCAUCUAUGACUGGGAUGUUGACUAUGAUUACUUUGGUUUCAAAACACUUGAGGACAUCAACUACCAUGGUAGAGACUGCAAAAAGGUCAAACUUAUGUCAUAGACCCUUUGGGAUUGGAGAUCAGGGUCUUGCAGAUACCUUCAUUUUGCAUGGCAUGGCAUUUGAUUCGCCAGAGGCCCAACAGCUUAACAAAGACAUAUUUGAAAUAUGCCACCAUGCUCUAAAGGAUUCUGGUGGGUUGGCUGUGAAAGAAGGCCCCAGUGAGAUUUAUGAUGGAUGUCCAGUGAGUAAGGUAUGAUGUGUUGAUAAGAACUUCUAUGCAACUGCACGGGAGCUCAGUGACUGCUUAUAUAUGAGUGUUCUGUUCAUAUGUUGCACUGCCUUUUGUUUUAGGUAUGAACUAUCUUCUUUCAGCUGGUCCCAUUUCUUCCAUCCCCAUGAUGUAUCUUCAAGGAUAUGGUUAUCCUUAGAUUUAUUUUUACUACAGCAGGAUAUAAAGUUUUCCCUUCUAAAAAAGCCAAAAAGUUUUGCAGUCAUCCAUGUUAUAAUUGAGACUACUAGCUGGCUGCUUAGAUAUCUAUUGGAUUAGCAGAGAAUUCUCCAACCUAUUCCCACUGCUUUAACCAAGCCAAAUUCUUGGAAACAAUGAGUCUCUGAGCUCUAUACUUACAAUAGUCUUUAUCUGUGGUGAAUUUGUUGUGGCAAACAAACAUCUCAUUCAUGACUUAACUGAGAUGGGUAUGUGGUCUCCUACUCUGGAGAACAAGAUAAUUUAUGAGGAUGGCUCUGUUCUAAAAAUUUCUGAAAUUCCUGAGGAAUUGAAAGUUAUCUAUAAGUGUGUAUUUAUCAUUUGUUUCUUGUCUUCCUUUUUCCCUGCAUUUUUUACUCCUUUCUGUGUUCAUAAAGCAAUGGACAUGACCCAGAAACAGAUCGAAUUGAAAGCUAAUCUGUGAUGGUCAAUUGAAAAUUCAGUUGUAGUUCCUCACAGUGAUUUUGUCAAUAGUGACUAUGGCCUAAACCUCACUGAAUGUAAGCAUUUACGCCCAUAAACCUACUCUUUCUCUAGCCCAUCAAUUUUUUGUUUAACUCAAUUUUGUU